RNAcentral lists this ribosomal RNA (380 nucleotides) under Pireneitega huochengensis. RNAcentral's name for it is "partial large subunit ribosomal RNA". Lineage: Eukaryota; Metazoa; Arthropoda; Arachnida; Araneae; Agelenidae. The record is from RNAcentral.
UCAAUGAAAUUUUCAAUAGCCGCAAUAUAUUUGUGCUAAGGUAGCAUAAUCAUUUGUCUUUUAAUUAAAGGCUAGAACAAAAGAUUCAACAUUUUAAUUUCUUUCUUAAUAAUAAAUACUUAACUUAUUCUAAAUAUAAAAAAAUAUUUAUAAUUUAAAAAGACGACAAGACCCUAUUGAACUUUACUAAAGUUUAACUGGGGCAGUUAAUUAAAUAUAAUUUUAAUUUACAAUCUACAAAUCACCUAAUACAAUUAAAUAUAUCAAGUUACCAUAGGGAUAACAGCGUAAUAAUUUUCCAUAGAUCUUAUUUAAAAAAUAAUUUGCGACCUCGAUGUUGAAUUAAUAAUCUAUUAAAUGCAAUAAUUAAUAAGAAAGUC